AAGUGCUGUGGAUACUUCUUAAGACUUGGACAUUGGUAGCGAUGUUAUCCAGGUGCAGAGCAGUUGUGUGACAUCUGCAAGAUCUCAUUGCAUUUGGGCUUGGUUUAGGUUUUUAGAUUUUUUUAUUAACUUCUAUUGCUUAACUUAUUUAAAUGCUAGCCCAAAGCCAUGUAGGUAUGAAGUUUUUAUAGACCUAUCUGAAAUAUAGAUGUUGUAUACUACAUGCUGACCAUUACAUGGGAAAAAUAGUAAGGCCUUUCUAGCUUUCUGUUCUACACUUUCUUGCAAUCUUUAUCUGCAGCCUGUGUUACUGCUUGUGUGGCUGUUAUGGUUGGUUUUUCCAUUAUUUUCUUCUUCCUGGGGACCCACAGAGAGACCUUCCUUCUCAAGUGAAAUGCAAUGUUUAAUUCUAUUAUCUGCUUCAGCUCUGACCACAGAUCAUUAUUGUUCAAGAUCAUUUGCUCACUACUGCUGGUAUCUAAAAAUGGCAUAUUGUCUUCUAAUUCAGCCUACUCUAAUAAGCCUAUCUUGACAGUUGUCAUGAAAUACUGAUUGCUUUUGGUGAGUAGCAUAUACUGUAAUUAUUUCCUUUUCCUAUCAUGGUAUAAUAUAGCUGAGAUGCUCCAUACAUAGAAAUGCACCUUCAUAGAGUAUUCUAAUGUGCAUUGAUUUUUUUUUUUCUAAUUUUUUUUAUCAACAUAAUGAAAUGAUCCCCUUUCACAUCAUAGAGUAGCACAAUGCUUAUUGAUUUAUUGCUGUACCUAUUUACAUUGGCUUAUCAGAAAGGUGCUUCCAAUGCAUUAGCAAACCCCUGAAGUGCUUCUGGUAGUAUCAAAAUGUGCCUGGGCAACUGA
This 854-nucleotide long non-coding RNA is filed under the name Anas platyrhynchos platyrhynchos (common mallard). RNAcentral's name for it is "lncRNA (ENSAPLG00000019952.1)". The record is from RNAcentral. Lineage: Eukaryota; Metazoa; Chordata; Aves; Anseriformes; Anatidae.